AAGUCGUAACAAGGUUUCCGUAGGUGAACCCGCUGGCAGGAAUCGAUUACAUUUGAUGAGUAUGUAGUCCAAGAAAGGCCCUUAAUUUUAAGGUCACCCCAAAACGCUUUGAAAAUAUUUAGCGGAAUGGGCAGUAAUACAAUCGGCAUGACCGUUUGAAUCCAAGGGCAGCUAUCCACCCGUGUAUAUAUACUCUGUUGCUUUCCGGGCGUCAUACCCCGGAGAGAACCCAACUCUUGAAUUUUAUGGAACGUCUGAGUACUAUAUAAUAGUUAAAA
Molecule: unclassified non-coding RNA, 278 nt
Filed under: plant metagenome
Description: partial contains small subunit ribosomal RNA and internal transcribed spacer 1
Source: RNAcentral